RNAcentral lists this ribosomal RNA (290 nucleotides) under uncultured bacterium. Its description in RNAcentral is "partial 16S ribosomal RNA". It matches the Rfam family "Bacterial small subunit ribosomal RNA", at positions 773 to 1060 of the family's 1533-position model. The record is from RNAcentral.
GUGGAUUAGAUACCCUGGUAGUCCACGCCGUAAACGAUGGGUACUAGGUGCCUGGGGGAGCGACCCCUUGGGUGCCGGCGCUAACGCAGGAAGUACCCCGCCUGGGGAGUACGGCCGCAAGUCUGAAACUCAAAGGAAUUGACGGGGGCACGCACAAGCGGUGGAGCAUGUGGUUUAAUUCGACGCAACGCGAAGAACCUUACCUAGGCUUGACAUGCAUGGGAAACUCCUGAGAAACCAGGAGCCUCCUUCGGGAUCCAUGCACAGGUGCUGCACGGCCGUCGCCAACU